UGGGUGCGCUUAAAAAUUAAGUUACCAGAGACUCUUCACCAUACGUCUCUUGAAUAUUAUUGUAGGUACCAAGGUACACACUAAUGAUUCUCACACAUACAAUAAAGUUCGCACCGGUUUUUUCCAACUCUAGCUCAGGGAUAUGUACAAUUGUUAGCAUGCCCCAAACUUAUGCAACGAUAACAAUCAGCAAGCCGUUGCUGCCCUCAAGUUUAACUCCUCUCCACGCAUCAGAUAUUUUCCCAAUUGAGCAACGGACUUAUCACAAAAAUAGAAUUUUCUACCAAAACAGUAUUUGAGCCCAUGAUACCAAGUAUGCAUACACAAAAUGAAAGAAACAAGCAAUACGCUUGUUAACAGUGCAGACCUUCUACUCAAGGUGGUAGAGGAGCCGCAUAAGGUGCCAGCAGCAAGCACACCCCCGCACCGUCAUCUACACCUUCCUCUCCUGUCCUCACAUUCACAACUACAACCAAGAAUAGCAACAAAGUCACCCUCUUCGUUCUCAAAAGUAAGGAAAAUAAAACAAUUUUGAGACGGUGGACAACUGACCUUCUUGUCGAGCUUGAUCUUUCUCAUCCCACGUAAUCCAUGUCAGAUCGCCACCGCUUCCCGAAAAAUCAGCAACCUCCUUGCUCUCCCCACCUCCUAAUAUUAAAAUAUCGACAUGAUAGCAGCAACAACACAGGGAGGGUCUUGAGAAUGAAGUGCCAUGUUCAUACCGAAGGAAAAUAAUCAUGCUCAAAUAGAAAGAUAUGAAUUAUUAGUAGAAGGAAGACACCUAUUAUAGCAUGCAUAACUAUUCAGUAUGAUCGCAAUGGUGAAUAAAAUUGACAAAUACUUUAUGGGAGGGGGAAGAACGACCACGGAAAAGAGGUGACGGUGAUGGUCGGUUGUGGGCUCAGUUUUGUUGAGGCUACGAUAACUUCCAAUAGCGAGACUUGAAGCCAUGCAUGGUGAUCGUGGAGUCCGUCUAUUUGAGUCGGCGCACGCGUCCAUCAAACCCGUACACAACUACAUGAUUUGGAGGGAGUGACUGGCCAGCCACCACCAGAGCACUUGGUGGUAAACAAUAAAUCAAUAUCUUCCUCUCGCGCGAUUAGAAAGUUAGCGUAUUCCAAAAACAAAAGAAACAAGGCUAAAAAUGAACUGCUUGAACUCCUCUACCAAGAAUAAGCGGUCAUAGAAAGUCCAUUGCUGGCACCUCACUUCUUCUAUCAAAAUGUGUUCAACUACAUUAAUGUUUCAAAAUUGCAAGUGUACUCAUAGGUGAAAAUUGAAAUUUUCUACGAUGGACAUGUAAAACAGUCUAGGUGAAUUAGGGAAAGUCGGUAGCACAACGAAUGAAUAACCAAGCUGACAACACAAAUAAUGAUUAACUAAGUUGAUAGCACAAACAAAAGUAACCACUGAUAGCAAAGAACAAUAUGAUCUACGAGUACAUGAGGAAGAAAUAUGUAAAAAAUAAUGGUAGCUAUCUGACUGUUUAAGCAGUUCAUCUCAAGGGCAGACAUAGUCAGUAAACAAAUUGGUGAAAAGAAGACUGAAGUUGUACCGUAAUUCAUCCAUGGCAGCUAUGUAGGAUGCAUUAUGAUGUGGUUCACUCCGAAAGAGGCUCCCUAUCCAAUCCAAAACCUGAAAUCGAUUAAUUACUCAACGCCAGAUAAUCAAUGUACCACUACAUGGUACCAUGAAUCCAUAAUAACUAAUUAAUCUACAACAAUUCUAGACAUCAUUGACACUUAGACGUUGUAAAACCAAAUUACAGAUAGAUUUUCAGAUUAACCCGAGUCUAUAACCUUAUACGCACUACCACAUUCGAUGAACGGCGAAACAAUGUUCAGCACUACCACAUAUAUUGUGAAUCUUCCCUGAACUUUUCAGUUU
This 1887-nucleotide long non-coding RNA is filed under the name Hordeum vulgare. Its description in RNAcentral is "long non-coding RNA (HVUL_LNC002063)". Lineage: Eukaryota; Viridiplantae; Streptophyta; Magnoliopsida; Poales; Poaceae. The record is from RNAcentral.